UCAUUUCGUUUAAAUUAUUUAAUGGUGUUAAUUCAAAUGGCUAGUUGAUACAAAUUUAAACAAGAAGGUAGUGCAGAGAACAUGUUAGAAUUUUAUAGUGGUUGGAUGAACAAAAGGCAAAAUAAAUGUGGUACAAUGAUAAUUUCUCUAAUUCAAUUGUGAAGUGAGACUGUGAGUAGUUUCUCACUUACACUGGAAUGAGCAUGUGAAAUAGAAAUCAAAAUUUCAUUUAUGUGUAUACUUUGUCUUGGAUUAGGAGUGAAUUAUUUUAAAUUACAGUUUUAUCCUUAUUUUAAAGAAUUGUAGUUUUGAAUUAUAAAGUGAAUAAACAAUACAUUUGUAAAAUAAAAU
Molecule: long non-coding RNA, 351 nt
Filed under: Citrus x clementina
Lineage: Eukaryota; Viridiplantae; Streptophyta; Magnoliopsida; Sapindales; Rutaceae
Description: Citrus clementina (C. clementina) long non-coding RNA (CCLE_LNC002596)
Source: RNAcentral